GCCACUUUAGCUCAGCAGGUAGAGCAUCACCAUGGUAAGGUGGGGGUCACCGGUUCAAGUCCGGUAAGUGGCU
Molecule: transfer RNA, 73 nt
Filed under: Lactobacillus sp.
Lineage: Bacteria; Bacillati; Bacillota; Bacilli; Lactobacillales; Lactobacillaceae
Also listed under: 5 other names
Description: tRNA-Thr
Rfam family: tRNA
About the family: Transfer RNA (tRNA) molecules are approximately 80 nucleotides in length.
Source: RNAcentral